AUGAAUGAAAAAAUCAACACAAACAUUAACACAAACAUUAACCGAGUUGAAAAAAAAGAUAAAAUUGAGGUCAAACAAAGAGAUAUGAUUUAUAGUGAUAGUUGUGCAAAUAGUAAUACCCAUGCUAGUAAUCAACAAAACAAAACCACUUCUAAUUUUGAAAAAAAUGAUGAUACAAUAAAAAAAAAUAUUGAUGAUUAUAAAACAGAUAAUAAUAAUAAAUAUAAUAAUAAUAAUAAUAAUAAUAAAUAUAAUAAUAAUAAUAAUAAUAAAUAUAAUAAUAAUAAUAAUAAAUAUAAUAAUAAUAAUAAUAAUAAUAAUAAAUAUAUAAAAGUAAAAGAACGUUCCAAUAUAAAUGAAAUAAUAACACAUGAACCCAAUUUGGACAAAACGGUUAAAACAGUAAAAGAAAUAAUUUUUAAUAAGGAUUGCGCACCAAACGGUAAUAAUGAACUGAGUAGUAUAUUAAAAGAAGCAAAUUAUAAUAUUAAUAAUAAAAUAAAAACAAAAACAAAAACAGAUAUAAUAUAUACAAAUGAAAAUGUAAAUAAUGAUACUCCCUAUAAACGUGUUUUAACAAAUAAAGUAAUGUCUUCGUCUAAUAAUCAUUCAAACGAGUCAUUCGUCCAUUCAAACGGGUCAUUCGUCCAUUCAAACGGGUCAUUCGUCCAUUCAAACAUGUCAGUUCCCCAAUCAAAUGAUCCAUUCGGUCAAUCAUACAUGUCAUUCCUCCAAUCAAACAUGUCAUUCAUUCAAUCAAAUAAGCCAGUCCUCCAAUCAAAUAAGCCAGUCCACCAAUCAAAAAAUGAGCGUAGCAAACAUAACCAACAGAGCGAAAGAAUUUAUAAACACACGAAUAAUGCAUAUCCUAUUAAUUCCAACUCACUUAACAGUUUUAUUUUUUGUUCUUUAUCUAAUCAUAGCUCAUCUAAUAUUCUUAAAAAAAUAUACACAUCGAAACAAAGAAAUACUCAUAGUACUAUAAAUUUAAGUAACUUAAUUUACAAAAGUAAAAAUGAUUAUAAUACUGUCACCAGUGCUAACGGUACACCUACUAUUUUUUCUACUACCAACAAAAGUAAAAAUAUAAACGCACAAAAAACAAACGAAACCAUUUUAAAAAAUUAUCUCACAUUAAAUAAGACGUCUACUCCGUAUGUUUCCAAAACGAAAUUAGCUAACAAUUGGAGCUACAAAAAUAAUAAGAAAGUAACAAACAAAAGUGUGACACAAGAACCUGAUGUUACAUUAUUUCAAUCAAAAUUAAAAUGGAUUAAUAUUUUUAACAGAAACUCGAGCAAAUAUUAA
Molecule: long non-coding RNA, 1308 nt
Filed under: Piliocolobus tephrosceles (Ugandan red Colobus)
Lineage: Eukaryota; Metazoa; Chordata; Mammalia; Primates; Cercopithecidae
Description: lncRNA (ENSPTEG00000017195.1)
Source: RNAcentral